This 6825-nucleotide long non-coding RNA is filed under the name Homo sapiens (human). RNAcentral's name for it is "HSALNT0127109". The record is from RNAcentral. Lineage: Eukaryota; Metazoa; Chordata; Mammalia; Primates; Hominidae.
GUGACAUCUAGUUACGGCAUGUUUGGGUUUAGAGACUGAGGGUGGCUUUCCCCAGGGGUCCCACAGCCUGCUGAUGAAGUACUUGGCACACCCCGCGCUCCCCUGGGUUCUAGCUUGCAUCCUGGUCUCUAACUGAAUGGUAGCCCGCCUACUUAGCUUGAGUGUUUCAAGGACUCCUCCUGGUCAAGAGCUGGGUUUCCCUAUUCAUUUCAUUUAAACAAGCUCCCAAGAAGGCAACAGGGACCCACUGUACCCCAAGAGGCACUCCAAGUUUCCUUCAGAGAGGAAAAAGAGAGACGGGGCUCCUAGAACCCACUCUCCCCAAAGGCGAGUUUCCCAGGCGCCGCUCGUGCUGUUGCUGGAAAGCGAGCUCGCUGUAGACCGGCCGCGACACCAUGUAGCUGCAGCUGUACUCGGGGAGCUGCGGCGGCUCCGACCUGCCGCCUGGCGCUGCCAUGACCUGCGAGCCAGAGGACAGCGAGGAGGGAGGACACGCGGGAAGGAAUAAACUGGACUACAUGGAAAUCAAGACUAGAAGAGAGGGAGGAGGAGCUGGAGCUAUCCUACCUCAUCAGUGUUUUGUCUUCUGUUGGGAUGAACUUUGUUAAAACUAAUGCAUGGUUAAGAUGAAAGGCAGAAGGAAGGGUUUGAUAAACCAGAACAUUCUCGCCUGAUUGUUAGUGUUCUGAAGUAAAUACAGAAGAGGCUCCAAAAUACAGACCUCUGUACAUCAACCUUCCGUAAUCCACCUGCCUUGCAUAUGCAGACCAUGACAAUUCUACGAGCUCCUGGAAACAGAACUCAGAACUCCUCCCCAGAGAACCCUGAUGCAAAUUCUCUGAAAUGGUAGUCAGCAUGUGCGUUUUCCUGAGAAGUGAAUGAGUCAACAGCUUUCAACAGAUCUUCAAAGGCUUACUUCACCCAAUGAAGUUAAGAACCACUAAAGAAGAAACCUAAAAGGAAAAUCCAGGUCAUGAACUUUGCAAUUUUUAUUCACAUACAGAGAAGAGGGGAGGAAUCUCUUGUGUAUGUUUUACUUAUGUAUACCACUGGUUCUUAAUAAAGGGCUUUUUUUGCCUCCAGAGGUCAAUGCCUGGAGACAUUUUUGGUUGUCACACCUAGGGAGAUGCUAUUGGGAUCUAGUGAGUAGAGACCAGAGAUGCUGCUAAACAUCCUACAAUGAAGUUUGCUAUCACUCCAAGGUUUUGCAUGCGACUUAAACUGUACAUUUAUUAAUCAAUUGCUACAUGUACUAAAAUAUGUAUCUCUCUCCAUAUAUGUAUAUAUGCGUGUAUUUUUUCAUUAUUGUUGGAUGUAUAGCUCAACUCCACUACAACAGAGGAAAGUAUUUGUUUUAAAGUAGAAUCUGAAUAUACUCACUCUGUAUACCCUCAUCCAUACCUUCAAGAUCUGGUGAAAACACUAUCUCUUGCAAGAACAUUCUUUGAUGCUGUUCAGAAUUAAUCCAGACCCUUUUCUGUAUUCUCUUAAUACCUUAUCUGAUCCUCUCUUAAGUUACUUCUCACUAUCUACCUUAGUAACACAAUUUUAUUUACAUACAAGUUCUCUCUCCCUCACUAGACAAAAACUUCUUGAGGGCAAGCACUGUGUCUCCUUUCAACCAUUAUUAUCUUCUCUCAUGUUUUUUGAACAGAUUUAUCUAUAGCCCAAACAUACCUUUUCAAAAAACUAAAAAUUACUUUACAUAUUUGAUCUAAGGCUUUGUUUUUCUCCAUUAAGAGCAUGCUGUGGAUAUCUUUGCAAGUGAGUGCAUAAGGAUUUUUCUUAACCUUGGAGAUGGCUGUCUAGGAUUUCAGAAUAUCAACUCAUAUUUGUAGCUCCAUGGCAACUCACCUACACAACUCACAACUCUUUAUUGAAGGCAUUCUGUACCAAUAUAAAUAUAGUCCAUAUCCCAUUCUAAUAUGGAUUUCUGCUCCUUGUUGCUUGCUAUUUUGAACACUUUUAGUCUGGUCCAGUCAGGCCUAUAAACCACUUUGCAUCAGAACUUGGCAAUGGUUUGCUGGUUCAGAGGAUUAAGGAGUGGGGUAAGGCUGGCAGAAGGACAGAAGAGAAAAGACUUGAGUAACAACAGGAGGCAAAAGAGUAACUUAGCUUGGCUAAUAGAAUUCUUAUUUGAAAUGCAUCUCUCUAUAUAAGAGUUUGGUUCAAUAAUCACAAUAUAAUAAGUCCUGCAUGUAUCUGGAUGAAGAUAAUUGCUUUUUUCUGUUCAAUGCUUUUCCAUAGCAGAAAUAGCUGGGGCAGAACAAAAUGGUAUCUCUGUUACAGGAUUCUAUAAGGGUAUAGAACUGCUUUUCUCAUAGGUAAAAGGCAGACCGUUUGAAUUUGGCUUUUUAAAAACAGAAGAGUAGGAGGAAAUAACAGCUUGCUCUCUCCACCCUAUUUAAUUGUGAUAUUAAACACCUUAGAUUACUCACUUGGGCUUUAUAAGGCAACCUUCUCCUGUUUCACACAGAGGUGGGUGGUUCUUAUUUAUCAGACUUUUAAAAUAUUCAGGACUUCUUUCCAAAGAAAUAGAUGCAUCACUUAAAAAUAAAUAUCAGACAAUAUUAUUGAUACUUUACAGUACUUAUUUAGCAGUUAAUACUUUUUUAAAAGGCAUUUUCUUAUUUAUCAUUUAGGCAUUUGCAGUGUAAGACAAACUCCCUUGUUUGAUUACGCAUUCACCUGUUCAUUCAUUCAUUCAUUCAAGGAUUUAUUAGGAAAUUAUUUGUGCUGGCUGUGGGUACAAUGAUGAACAAAAGCUUAUACCCUGGCCUCAUAUUUAUGGGUGCAGUAGACACUAAUCAAAUGGUCACAAAAUGUGUAUCUUAUUUCACUGAUUAUAAAAUACAGAUUUUUCACAUUUUAUCAGGGUUCAUGUUAUAAUUGAUGAUCUACUAUAUAUUAUAGUUUAAUUGAUAGCGUAUUUUGUGAUUCAUAAAAUGAGUUUUAUAAUAGAAUUCUAUAAUUAAUAAAAUAUAGAUAUUUACAUAAAUUUAUAGUGUAUCUAUGCCUUUUUUUUCUUUUUUAGAGAUGGGAUCUUGCUAUUUUGCCCAGGCUGGACUUGAACUCCCAGUCUCCAGAAUAGCUGGGACUAUAGGUGCACACCACCACACCUGACAGAGUAUCUAUGCUUUUGAGUGACUACGUGUGCUACAAGAAUGAUUUAAUUGAAUCCUUCGUUUAUUUAACUUAAGAGCAGUCAAUCUUGCUACAUUAUUUUUGUCUGAGAGCGAAUAUUGUGGUAUAAAUUUUUUCUUUUUUUUUUUUUUUUUACAAUUUAAAAUGUUCUCAAAUCAGAAGAAUUGCAAAAGAAUGCAAACAUGUUGGCUGGGCGCUGUGGCUCACAGUGUAAUCCCAACACUUUGAGAAGCUGAGGCGGGAGGAUCACUUGAGCCAGGCCUAAUCCUGAGCUUUUAUUUCAUUAUGCGUGUUAAUUUUCUCAAGAUAGCAAAUGCUAAAUUUUUGUCAUACUUAUACAAAAAGAGAACUGAACUGAACUUUCUUUCUAUAUUUCUGAUCUCUUCUUCUCUGAGCAACUUAUUGGGCUUAUUCUCAGUAAUCAUACAGUUUUGCACUCAAUUGUUUUCUUGGUUUUUUGUUGUUAUUUUUAUCUUGCACUCAAUUGUUUUCUAUUUGUUUACUGUAUGCUACUUUAUUUUCUUCUCCAGUUAUAAGAUAUGCUCCCUAGGGACAUAAAUAGUAUAUGUCUUUUAUGGUGUUACAAAAAUAAGAUGUGCCUGUAGUAAAUAAUUUGGAAACUACAUUAAUGUAUAAUAUAGUAAUCACAUUUUAUCUCAUUAUCCAGAUAAUCACUGUUUUGCUUCUUUUUUUAUUUAUUCUUUCUAUGCAGACAUAGGUAUACAUUUUUAUUAAAGUAAAAUUAUAAUGCUAGUCUCUUUAUUUCCCUACACAAUACCUUGACAAAUUAUGACAAUAUAAUAGGUACCAGACUUGUUAAAUUAUUGAUCAAUUGAUUGUUUAACAAUGGAAUUUUGAGAAAUAUUUGGGUAGAAAAAAAACUAGUUUUAAAAGAAGAGAAUCCAACCAUUAAAACAUCAAAAAAUGAAAUUAUUUGUAAAUAUUAUGUGGCAAUCCAUUCAAUUUUAAACAACUUACAGUGUCAAUAAAACUAUAACUCAAUAAAUUUCUCAGGCAGAGCCCAUCUGCCUCUUCUUUAAUAUGAAUGCAAACUUGAUAUGUGGUUUAGUAAAUUGCUAGAACGAAAUGAUGGCAUAGUUUUGGGUUUUGAGGGGUUUUCUGUGUGUGUGUGUGUGUGUGUGUGUUUGUUUGUUUGUUUUAAACAGGGUCUGGCUCUGUCACCCAGGUUGAAGUGCAGUGACACUAUCUCAGCUCACUGCAACCUUCACCUCCAAAGCUCAAGCCAUUCUCCACCUCAGCCUCCCAAGUAGUUGAGACUAUAGGCAUGUGCCACCACACCCGGCUAAUUUUUGUAUUUUUUGUAGAGACAGGGUUUUGCCAUCUUGCUCAGGCUGGUCUCAAACUCCUGUGCUCAAGAGAUCCACCUGCUUCAUCCUCCCAGGGUGCUGGGAUUACAUGUGUGAGCCACCACACCCAGGUGGGUUUCUUUUAAUGUUUGUUUUAAUGAUGAUUUUUUUUUUUCAAGAGAUGGGGUCUCGCUUUGUUACCCAGGCUGGUCUCAAACUCCUGGGCUCAAAUAAUCCUACCACCUCAGCCUUCCAAAAUGCUGAUUAUAAAAUGACAUUACAGGCAGGAGCCAACUGCACUUGGCCUGGAUGUUUUCUUUCUUUUUUUUAGAGAUGGGGGUCUCACCUCAGUCCCUGAAGUAGCUGGCAUUACAGGCCUGUGCCACUAUGUCGAGCCAAUAAUGGCAUAGUUUUCUAAGCAAAGAAUAAUUUCAGGAUCCUUCCAAAUUUCUUAUUAUUUAAGUGUAUUGCACUUUUAAAGUUAUCCUUGCAUAUCUUAUCUCAUGAAAUCUGUGGUUUGUUAAUGGAGGGAGAAAAGGGAAGCUUGAGGAUUGUUUCAAGUAAACACUGAUGUGCUGUGUUACCACGAGUUGGAUGUUUAAGUAUUCCAUUCAUUCGUUUAAUUAUUCAUUCAUUGAUUCAUACAUUUAUUUACUUACACCAUGAGUAUUUAGUGAACCCUUAACUUGUAUCAAACACUAUCUAAGUGUCGGGGAUACAGCAGUGAACAAGUUUGUCAAAGUUCCUGCCUUCAAAGUACUUCUAAUGGGGGACAGUGAUUAUCAGCAAAAAAAAUAAAUCAGAUAACAUUCUGUUGUGACGAAAUGCUAUGGGAGAAAGAGAAAGAUGUCUUGUGGAAUUACUGAUGGAGCAACACACAGCAAGGGGAGGAGGAGGACCACCUUAGAGGGGGUGUUCAGGGAAGGCCUUUCUCUUUCAGAGGAAAUGACAUUUGAAGAGAGACUAAAGGAUGAGAAAAAGACAGCCUUCCUGGAAGAGGAAACAGCAAAUGCAAAAACUCUGAGUUAGGAAAGAACUUGAUGCACUUGAGAAACAAAAAGAAGGCCGGCAAGACUGAAAUCCACAUAAGUCAGACCCGGGCACAGCAAACUGGACGUCCUCAGUAUAUAUGUGGCAACUGAAACCAGGCAUUUAGGACAUGAUCUCAUUCUGUUGCCCAGGGUGAGUGCAGUGGCACCUUCAUGGCUCAUUGCAGUCUCGAUCUCCCAGGCUCAAGCGAUCCUCCCACCUCAGCCUCCCAAAGUGCUGGGAUUGCAGGCGUGAGCCACCUUGCCCAGCCCAUUCUGCAAUCUUCGGAAGGAAGUCACUAUAUGCAGCCUAUGCUUGAGGAGUGGGGAGUUGAAUUCCACAUCCUUGAGGGCAGAAUACCUAAAUAAAUUAUUUGGAAUUCUUCUGCAAGAGAGAUUUGUCUCUUCUCCUCCAUUUAUUCAUUUAUUCAAUUAUUUCUUCAUGUCAUAAAAUCAUGAAUAUUUAUUUUAUAUGUUGCAUUAUAAACCAACAGUACUUUUUAAGAAAUCAAAUUGUUCCAGGCUUGGCCAUUAGGAGCUCUUUCAGUUGGCUUCUGUGCCCUUUGACAUAGCCCCACCAAUGUAGGGUGGUUUUGUCUUUUGGUUUUGGAGCAUUUUCUUACUUUUUGGCACUGUAAGAUGCUCCAGGCUGAUCUCGUGUAUUCCUGUGUAAAAUCAGCCAUUUCUCAAAGGAACACUUGUUCCUUUUAUCGGUGAAUGGUAUAAGCAACCAAUAUCUGGGUGACAGAGUGUUCCCUGCUGCAGGGGAAUUGUUGCUCUAGGCCCUUUCAGCUGACAGAGCAAAGAAAUAUGUGUGUAUAUCAACCAAGGCAUAUAUACACAUCAAUAAUAUUUCUAUAUCUAAUCAUCUAUAUUUCUAUUAAAUUAAACAUAAGUUCAUACUAAUUAAGAGAUAUUUUUAUUUUAUAGUAUUUUGUACUAUUUGAGGUGAUUUUUUAAUAGGUCAAUUUGUUACUUUGUCAAUCAUUUUAAAAGAAAUUAUAUUAUGUUUCAAAUGCCCUAGUGAUAAGAUAAAUUAUAUAUACGUAUGUCUUGAUAGUUGUGGAUUACUAGAUGCAAAACAAAUGGUCUAUUGGUAUUGUUUGUUUGUUUGUUUGUUUUAGAGACAGGGUCACACUCUGUCACCCAGGCUGGAGUGCAGUGGUGUGAUGAUAGCUCAUUGCAGACUCGAUCUCCUGGGCUCAAGCGAUCCUUCCACCUCAGCCUUCCAAAUAGCUGGGAUUACAGGCAUGCACCACCAUACCUGGCUAGUUUUUAAUUUUUUGUAGAGAUGGGGUCUCACUAUGUUGCCUAGGAUAGUCUUGAAUUCCUGGUCUCAAGUGACC